GAUGAACGCUAGCGACAGGCCUAACACAUGCAAGUCGAGGGGUAUCGGUUUCGGCCGAGAGACCGGCGCACGGGUGCGUAACGCGUAUGUAACCUGCCUCACACUGGGGGAUAGCCUUCCGAAAGGGAGAUUAAUACCGCAUAAUAAUAUUGUCCUGCCUGGGACGAUAUUUAAAACUUCGGUGGUGUGAGAUGGACAUGCGUAUGAUUAGCUAGUUGGCGGGGUAACGGCCCACCAAGGCGACGAUCAUUAGGGGUUCUGAGAGGAAGAUCCCCCACACUGGUACUGAGACACGGACCAGACUCCUACGGGAGGCAGCAGUGAGGAAUAUUGGUCAAUGGGCGAAAGCCUGAACCAGCCAUGUCGCGUGCAGGAAGACGGCCCUAUGGGUUGUAAACUGCUUUUGUAUGGGAAGAAACGACNGGU
Molecule: ribosomal RNA, 426 nt
Filed under: uncultured bacterium
Lineage: Bacteria
Description: bacterial SSU rRNA
Rfam family: Bacterial small subunit ribosomal RNA
Source: RNAcentral